Molecule: ribosomal RNA, 511 nt
Filed under: uncultured Glomus
Lineage: Eukaryota; Fungi; Glomeromycota; Glomeromycetes; Glomerales; Glomeraceae
Description: SSU rRNA
Rfam family: Eukaryotic small subunit ribosomal RNA
Source: RNAcentral
UCCGCUCCAUAGCGUAUAUUAAAGUUGUUGCAGUUAAAAAGCUCGUAGUUGAAUUUCGGGACCAAUUUGUUGGUCGUGCCUCGGUACGUACUGGUAUUAUUGGUUUCUCCCUUCUGAAGAACCUCGAUGCCAUUAAUUUGGUGUCGUGGGGAAUCAGGACUGUUACUUUGAAAAAAUUAGAGUGUUUAAAGCAGGCAUACGCUUGAAUACAUUAGCAUGGAAUAAUGAAAUAGGACGUUUGAUUCUAUUUUGUUGGUUUCUAGGAUCGACGUAAUGAUUAAUAGGGAUAGUUGGGGGCAUUAGUAUUCAAUUGUCAGAGGUGAAAUUCUUGGAUUUAUUGAAGACUAACUACUGCGAAAGCAUUUGCCAAGGAUGUUUUCAUUAAUCAAGAACGAAAGUUAGGGGAUCGAAGACGAUCAGAUACCGUCGUAGUCCUAACCAUAAACUAUGCCGACUAGGGAUCGGAUGAUGUUAAUUUUUUAAUGACUCAUUCGGCACCUUACGGGAAACA